GGGCCCGUAGCUCAGCAAGGAAGAGCGCCGGACGCGGGACCCGGGGGUCGCGGGUUCGAAUCCCGCCGGGCCCGCCA
RNAcentral lists this transfer RNA (77 nucleotides) under Candidatus Bathyarchaeota archaeon. Its description in RNAcentral is "tRNA-Pro". It matches the Rfam family "tRNA". Rfam says of the family: Transfer RNA (tRNA) molecules are approximately 80 nucleotides in length. Lineage: Archaea; Thermoproteati; Candidatus Bathyarchaeota. The record is from RNAcentral.